GACAUUUAUUCAGGAGGCUUUCAAGAGGAGGCUGGAGGUGCCAUUUUCACUCCCACUUGUGGGAGGGGACUCGUGUCUGUCACGUCUUGAGCGAGACCUGGGUUCGUUUACACUGGUGGAAAUGGCACCCUUAAUUGGAGAACCUUUAGAAUUGAUUUCCUGAUUGUGCCGCAUGCUGUCAAAAAGAUGUGUUCCAUUUCAGCGGUUGAUCCUGGAUUGAGAAGUUUCCAGCCUGGAAUGAUUACAAUUGAAAGAGGUUUUUUUCCUUAUUCUUCCUGCUGCCGACAUACCCACUGCUCUCUUUUAAAACAACAACAUUACCGGGCGCCUGGGCCGUUCAGUAAGUUAAGCGUCCAACUUCGGCUUAGGUCAUGAUCUCAUGAUUCAUGGGUUCGAGCCCGGCAUCAGGCUCUCACCCUCUCAAAAUAAAUAAAGAAACACUUAAAAUAUAAAAAAAAAU
Molecule: long non-coding RNA, 460 nt
Filed under: Felis catus (domestic cat)
Lineage: Eukaryota; Metazoa; Chordata; Mammalia; Carnivora; Felidae
Description: lncRNA (ENSFCAG00000043288.2)
Source: RNAcentral